RNAcentral lists this ribosomal RNA (254 nucleotides) under uncultured bacterium. RNAcentral's name for it is "partial 16S ribosomal RNA". It matches the Rfam family "Bacterial small subunit ribosomal RNA", at positions 524 to 776 of the family's 1533-position model. The record is from RNAcentral.
UACGGAGGGUGCGAGCGUUGUCCGGAAUCAUUGGGCGUAAAGGGCGCGUAGGUGGCCCGGUCAGUCUUUGGUGAAAGCGCGGGGCUCAACCCUGCGUCGGCCAGGGAUACUGCCGCGGCUGGAGCACUGUAGAGGCAGGCGGAAUUCCGGGUGUAGCGGUGGAAUGCGUAGAGAUCCGGAGGAACACCAGAGGCGAAGGCGGCCUACUGGGUCAGUACUGACGCUGAGCCGCGAAAGCGUGGGGAGCAAACAGG